RNAcentral lists this ribosomal RNA (498 nucleotides) under uncultured bacterium. Its description in RNAcentral is "partial 16S ribosomal RNA". It matches the Rfam family "Bacterial small subunit ribosomal RNA", at positions 29 to 523 of the family's 1533-position model. The record is from RNAcentral.
AUUGAACGCUGGCGGAAUGCUUUACACAUGCAAGUCGACCGGCAGCGUGGCGCAACCUGGCGGCGAGCGGCGAACGGGUGAGUAAUAUAUCGGAACGUACCCAGACGCGGGGGAUAACACAGCGAAAGCUGUCCUGAUACCGCAUACGUCCUGAGGGAGGAAUCGGGGGAGCGCAAAGCCUCGGGCGAUUGGAGCGGCCGAUAUCGGAUUAGCUAGUUGGUGAGGUAAAGGCUCACCAAGGCGACGAUCCGUAGCUGGUCUGAGAGGAUGAACAGGCAGACUGGAACUGAGACACGGUGCAGACUCCUACGGGAGGCAGAAGUGGGGAAUUUUGGAGAAUGGGCGAAAGCCUGAUCCAGCCAUGCCGCGUGCGGGAAGAAGGCCUUCGGGUUGUAAACCGCUUUUGUCAGGGAAGAAAAGGGCGACUCGAAUACAGUUGCCUCAUGACGGUACCUGAAGAAUAAGCACCGGCUAACUACGUGCCAGCCGCCGCGGUAA